Pelobates cultripes (western spadefoot toad) is the source of this 73-nucleotide non-coding RNA. The record is from the annotation of a GenBank genome assembly. NCBI's taxonomy places the organism in Eukaryota, Metazoa, Chordata, Amphibia, Anura, Pelobatidae.
GCAUGGGUAGCUCUGUUGGUAGAGUAUUAGACUUUUAAUUUGAGAAUCCAGAGUUCAAGUCACUGUUUGGGUG